UCCGAUGUCUCCGUCCUCCAUUUGUUUGAAAUAAGUACCAACUUGAAUAUGUCCAUAUUUUCGUUUCACCAUUUUUACAGGAAUACUAAUUCAAACUCAAAAUAACAUUUAUUUUUAUUUCUGUAGUAGAUCUAUUUAGGCAGCGUGGUCACUGCUGAGGCUGACAUAGCCGAAAGGUGAAAAUUGGGCCGCAUUUGUCAUCUAAAGUUGCUAGCUUUCCGUAUCAUCAAGAAAGAAAAAACUAGGGGUGCUUGGCAGGCCGAGGAACAAAGUAACCAUUACCAACAUCAUCCAUGUGGAUGGCAGGCAGCACUACCUACUAGCCUGCCUGGGGAGGGAUCAACAUUUGAUAAGUGCAGCACAAUAUAGGCAUCGGUGUUUAUUUUUUUCAAUCCAAGGGGACAAACACCGGAGAAACUUACCCCUAAACAUGGGGACAACUUCUGAUCCAGAAGUGGUUCAGGGUUCAACAGGACAAAUUGCGUGCACCUCUCAACCCCACACCCCCGGGUUGUCUCAAUCGCACAAUCUCACUACUCUUAAAGGGGGAAAUUUGUUCCUCACUAAUCGAUGCGGGACAAUAUGUAUUCGCUCGGCCUUCUACUUUCUCAUCAAAAUAUAUGAAAGUAUUUUGCGCUCCCACACACAGUGGAGUUAUAUAUAAUUUAUUCAUGUAAUGUAUUAGUAUAUUAUUUUGGUAAAUAUAAUAUUUAAAUAGAUUGUAUUCUUUUUAAAAUUAUUUUGUAAUGUUGAUGCACCAACAUUUUUAGAAACUAAGCUUAAGGAUGGAGCGCACACAAAUUUUAUCUCUAUCUUACGGAGGUAGAGAAAUUGUUUAAUGUGAUA
RNAcentral lists this long non-coding RNA (846 nucleotides) under Capsicum annuum. RNAcentral's name for it is "long non-coding RNA (CANN_LNC003865)". The record is from RNAcentral. Lineage: Eukaryota; Viridiplantae; Streptophyta; Magnoliopsida; Solanales; Solanaceae.